GCCUCAGUGGUGUAGUGGUAGCACGCAUCCCCGAUAUGGAUGGAACGCGGGUUUGACUCCCGUCUGAGGCC
Parelaphostrongylus tenuis is the source of this 71-nucleotide non-coding RNA. The record is from the annotation of a GenBank genome assembly. NCBI's taxonomy places the organism in Eukaryota, Metazoa, Nematoda, Chromadorea, Rhabditida, Metastrongylidae.